AGGGGGGAUUACACGGCUGUUCAGCAGGCUCCCAACAUGGGCGAGGCCUUGAUUCUGUUCCGGAAUAGGACGGGGUGGGUGCGUUCUAUUUCGAGGCCUUCCUUUUUCUACCCAUCCCUCUCUCGUUCUAUCUCUCUGUCUGUCUUUGUCUGUCUGGCUGACUGACUCUCUAUCCCCCCAUCUAUCCAUCUAUCCAUCGCCAUGGUCCCACCUCGCUCCUUGUGCUGCACCGUCCGCCUCUCCUUGCAGCAGGGAUAAGGCGAUGCUGCAACGCCAGCCUGCGAGCUCGCUAGCUCCCAAAACCCUAAACCCUUGUCCCUAAC
RNAcentral lists this long non-coding RNA (323 nucleotides) under Physcomitrium patens. Its description in RNAcentral is "long non-coding RNA (PPAT_LNC007538)". Lineage: Eukaryota; Viridiplantae; Streptophyta; Bryopsida; Funariales; Funariaceae. The record is from RNAcentral.